RNAcentral lists this ribosomal RNA (253 nucleotides) under uncultured bacterium. RNAcentral's name for it is "partial 16S ribosomal RNA". It matches the Rfam family "Bacterial small subunit ribosomal RNA", at positions 524 to 776 of the family's 1533-position model. The record is from RNAcentral.
UACGAAGGGGGCUAGCGUUGCUCGGAAUUACUGGGCGUAAAGCGCACGUAGGCGGCUUUCUAAGUCGGGGGUGAAAUCCUGGAGCUCAACUCCAGAACUGCCUUCGAUACUGGAAAGCUCGAGUCCGGGAGAGGUGAGUGGAACUGCGAGUGUAGAGGUGAAAUUCGUAGAUAUUCGCAAGAACACCGGUGGCGAAGGCGGCUCACUGGCCCGGUACUGACGCUGAGGUGCGAAAGCGUGGGGAGCAAACAGG